This 658-nucleotide long non-coding RNA is filed under the name Sus scrofa (pig). RNAcentral's name for it is "lncRNA (ENSSSCG00035051909.1)". Lineage: Eukaryota; Metazoa; Chordata; Mammalia; Artiodactyla; Suidae. The record is from RNAcentral.
AUAAUUUACAGACGCCAGUGCAAAACAAAAAAUACAGGGCUCCUUGCUAAAAAUUCAUUAAGAAUUAUUUUUUCAGGAUGGCAAUAAAAGAGCACUAAACCAAGCAUGGGGCCCAGUGCAGCUGCACAGAGGAUGCAUGCCCAUCAAGACAACUCUUGACACCAAGCUAAACAGUGUCUCACGGUUCAAACCCAGCUGUCCCCUCCAAGGAAAAGGUCAGAAGUGCAGGCCCUCCCAUUUUUCCCAAAAGAAAGGGGAAUAUACCCUUUGAGGAAUCUUCUCUCAUUGUCUUCUGGAGGGGGGUGAAUCCGCUGCCCCCCCCAACACACACACACACACACACACACACACACACACACACACACACACGCCCCAGCUCCCAGAGCUACUUUGCAAUCCCCUGCCCACCAUAGAGAGAGCACGGCCCUGUCCCUCAUGCCUCUCCUCUCUUUUACCCUCUGCAGAGCUGAGCAAGGAGCACCACCAGCUGGCCAUGUCCCUGGAGAAAGAGUUGCUUCCCCAACAGGCAGAGCUGGUGGUGACCAUCCUGGACCCAAUUCUUCCCAGGCAGGGGGAGGCAGUCUUCACCUCAGGCUGUGCAAAGGCUUUUACAGUGAGGAGCUGAAGGUAAACCCCCCCUGGUCAGACUCUACAGCCU